CAGCAGCCACGGUAAUACAGAGGGUGCGAGCGUUAAUCGGAUUUACUGGGCGUAAAGCGUGCGUAGGCGGCUUCUUAAGUCGGAUGUGAAAUCCCUGAGCUUAACUUAGGAAUUGCAUUCGAUACUGGGAAGCUAGAGUAUGGGAGAGGAUGGUAGAAUUCCAGGUGUAGCGGUGAAAUGCGUAGAGAUCCGGAGGAAUACCGAUGGCGAAGGCAGCCAUCUGGCCUAAUACUGACGCUGAGGUACAAAAGCAUGGGGAGCAAACAGGAUUAGAGACCCCAGUAGUCCCUGUCUCUUAUAC
This 301-nucleotide ribosomal RNA is filed under the name uncultured bacterium. RNAcentral describes it as "partial 16S ribosomal RNA". It matches the Rfam family "Bacterial small subunit ribosomal RNA", at positions 509 to 807 of the family's 1533-position model. The record is from RNAcentral.